Molecule: ribosomal RNA, 860 nt
Filed under: uncultured bacterium
Lineage: Bacteria
Description: bacterial SSU rRNA
Rfam family: Bacterial small subunit ribosomal RNA
Source: RNAcentral
AUCCAAGCGUUAUCCGGAUUUAUUGGGUUUAAAGGGUGCGCAGGCGGACUAAUAAGUCAGGGGUGAAAAGUUUCAGCUUAACUGAAAUCGUGCCUUUGAUACUGUUAGACUAGAGUAUAAUUGACGUGACUGGAAUGUGAUGUGUAGCGGUGAAAUGCUUAGAUAUGUCACAGAACGCCAAUCGUGAAGACAGGUCACGAAAUUAUUACUGACGCUCAUGCACGAAAGCGUGGGGAUCAAACAGGAUUAGAUACCCUGGUAGUCCACGCUGUAAACGAUGAUUACUCGUUGUUGGGCAGUGAUGCUCAGUGGCUAAGCGAAAGCGAUAAGUAAUCCACCUGGGGAGUACGAUCGCAAGGUUGAAACUCAAAGGAAUUGACGGGGGCCCGCACAAGCGGAGGAGCAUGUGGUUUAAUUCGAUGAUACGCGAGGAACCUUACCCGGGCUUGAACGUAAGACGAAUAUAUAAGAGAUUAUAUAGCCUUCGGGCGUCUUGCGAGGUGCUGCAUGGUUGUCGUCAGCUCGUGCCGUGAGGUGUUAGGUUAAGUCCUGCAACGAGCGCAACCCUUACACUUAGUUGCCAGCACGUAAUGGUGGGGACUCUAUGUGAACUGCCUACGCAAGUAGAGAGGAAGGUGGGGAUGACGUCAAAUCAGCACGGCCCUUAUGUCCGGGGCUACACACGUGCUACAAUGGUAUGUACAGAGGGCAGCCACCUGGCGACAGGGAGCUAAUCCUCAAAGCAUAUCCCAGUUCGGAUUGGAGUCUGUAACUCGACUCUAUGAAGUUGGAUUCGCUAGUAAUCGCGCAUCAGCCAUGGCGCGGUGAAUACGUUCCCGGACCUUGUACACACCGCCCGU